This 497-nucleotide ribosomal RNA is filed under the name uncultured bacterium. RNAcentral describes it as "partial 16S ribosomal RNA". It matches the Rfam family "Bacterial small subunit ribosomal RNA", at positions 28 to 507 of the family's 1533-position model. The record is from RNAcentral.
GAUGAACGCUGGCGGCGUGCCUAAUACAUGCAAGUCGAGCGAACAGACGAGGAGCUUGCUCCUCUGACGUUAGCGGCGGACGGGUGAGUAACACGUGGAAAACCUACCUAUAAGACUGGGAUAACUUCGGGAAACCGGAGCUAAUACCGGAUAACAUGUUGAACCGCAUGGUUCAAGAGUGAAAGACGGUCUUGCUGUCACUUAUAGAUGUAUCCGCGCCGCAUUAGCUAGUUGGUAAGGUAACGGCUUACCAAGGCAACGAUGCGUAGCCGACCUGAGAGGGUGAUCGGCCACACUGGAACUGAGACACGGUCCAGACUCCUACGGGAGGCAGCAGUAGGGAAUCUUCCGCAAUGGGCGAAAGCCUGACGGAGCAACGCCGCGUGAGUGAAGAAGGUCUUCGGAUCGUAAAACUCUGUUAUUAGGGAAGAACAAAUGUGUAAGUAACUAUGCACGUCUUGACGGUACCUAAUCAGAAAGCCACGGCUAACUACGUG